GAUGAAGAACGCAGCGAAAUGCGAUAAGUAAUGUGAAUUGCAGAAUUCAGUGAAUCAUCGAAUCUUUGAACGCACCUUGCGCUCCUUGGUAUUCCGAGGAGCAUGCCUGUUUGAGUGUCAUUAAAUUCUCAACCUUAUUGGCUUUUGCUGAUAAUGGCUUGGACUUGGGGGUCUUUUUGCUGGCUUUCAUUAGUCCGCUCCCCUUAAAUGUAUUAGCCGGUGCCCCGCAGUGGAACCGUCUAUUGGUGUGAUAAUUAUCUACGCCGUGGACGUCUGCUAUAAUGGGUUUGCGCUGCUUCUAACCGUCUCUCGGGACAACACAAAUGACAAUUUGACCUCAAAUCAGGUAGGACUACCCGCUGAACUUAAGCAUAUCAAUAGCGGAGGA
This 388-nucleotide unclassified non-coding RNA is filed under the name soil metagenome. RNAcentral describes it as "partial contains 5.8S ribosomal RNA, internal transcribed spacer 2, and large subunit ribosomal RNA". The stretch from base 1 to 120 matches the Rfam family "5.8S ribosomal RNA", at positions 35 to 154 of the family's 154-position model. The record is from RNAcentral.